GCCCUACUCAAGUGCUACAUCACUCAGAGGACUUCAACACCCCAGCAUUCAAAUGUAAUGUUGGAGAGGUCCUUGGCCGGCUGGACCCCACUUUGGCCGACUCGUCACACCCACCUGCAACCAGCGAGAUGGUGAGGACCACUCAGCAAGCCCACCAGCCACCAGCUUAGUGCUUGGGCUCCUGGAAACCACCCCCCACCCCUGGCCUCCUGGUUGUGUCGCUACCUGGUUCCACACUACAGAGGCACAGGGGGCAUAAGGGCCAUUGUCCUGAGCUGCAGAAGUGAACAACAGAUAGAGGGCCUCUCUCAGGCUCCUUCAUGAAAACUAAAGCUGACUGUAAAAGUGAAGAGAAUCUUGGAAAUAAAGGCACACCAGACCACCGUACUUGAAUUUGUACAUCUCUAGAACAAUACUUAACAGAACUCAGACUUUCAGCCUCCAUUCACAGCCUCUAAAAUCUCUGCUGGAAAUUUUUUUGAUGAUACCAUAAUGACAAAGAAGCCCACCUUCAGGAGAGCUUCCUUCUUGGAGACAUAAAGUUGCAGCUUCUCUCCACAUCCACCUACUUUGAAAGGAAAGACAGAACCUCCAGUCUGGGUGGAGGCUCAGACUUGUCAAUCUCUACCUACAUUCUUAUGAAUUUCCAAGCCAUGUUUGAAGGCAGCGUUAG
Molecule: long non-coding RNA, 673 nt
Filed under: Heterocephalus glaber (naked mole-rat)
Lineage: Eukaryota; Metazoa; Chordata; Mammalia; Rodentia; Bathyergidae
Description: lncRNA (ENSHGLG00000033754.1)
Source: RNAcentral